Molecule: ribosomal RNA, 253 nt
Filed under: uncultured bacterium
Lineage: Bacteria
Description: partial 16S ribosomal RNA
Rfam family: Bacterial small subunit ribosomal RNA
Source: RNAcentral
UACGUAGGGGGCGAGCGUUGUCCGGAUUCAUUGGGCGUAAAGCGCGCGCAGGCGGUUGCGAGAGCCCGGCGUGAAAGCCCCCAGCUCAACUGGGGGAGGCCGUCGGAGACCUCGUGACUUGAGGCCGGUAGGGGAGAGCGGAAUUCCCGGUGUAGUGGUGAAAUGCGUAGAUAUAGGAAGGAACACCAGUGGCGAAGGCGACCACCUGGACUGAUACUGACACUGAGGUGCGAAAGCGUGGGGAGCAAACAGG